Molecule: ribosomal RNA, 438 nt
Filed under: uncultured bacterium
Lineage: Bacteria
Description: partial 16S ribosomal RNA
Rfam family: Bacterial small subunit ribosomal RNA
Source: RNAcentral
CUACGGGAUGCUGCAGUGGGGAAUAUUGGACAAUGGGCGCAAGCCUGAUCCAGCAAUGCCGCGUGAGUGAAGACGGCCUUAGGGUUGUAAAACUCUUUCGCUAGGGAAGAUAAUGACUGUACCUAGUAAAGAAGUCCCGGCUAACUCCGUGCCAGCAGCCGCGGUAAUACGGAGGGGACUAGCGUUGUUCGGAAUUACUGGCGUAAAGAGUUCGUAGGCGGACUGACAAGUUAGAGGUGAAAUCCCAGGGCUCAACCCUGGAACUGCCUUUAAAACUGUCAGUCUAGAGACCGGAAGAGGUUAGGGGAAUACCUAGUGUAGAGGUGAAAUUCGUAGAUAUUAGGUGGAACACCAGUGGCGAAGGCGCCUAACUGGUCCGGUACUGACGCUGAGGAACGAAAGCGUGGGGAGCAAACAGGAUUAGAUACCCGUGUAGUC